AAGCAGAGCAAAGCAUCUAUAAGCACAAAAGGCAUCUUAUCUUGGAGAGAUGCUCACACCAUAAGGGCACUUAGUAGAAGAGACCAACCAACAAAAGCAGAUCCCUGUGUCCUCCCCCUCUCCCACUAGGGGAGGUGUGUGCAUGACCUGGAAUAGCAAAGAAAGCCCUGAAGUAAAAAUUGCUCAGCUCAACUAGUAUACAGAUAAUUGUAUAAAGCAAACAAUAUGGAUCUAAUUCAACCAGGAGAAUCCCAGGACAACAAGCCAGGCAUGUGACUUUUACCCAGUAAGAAAGUCCUUAAUCUUCAGAGUUGAGAGUGAAGGAGUGGACCUGGCUUUAGGAUGGACUUUAUCUUUCUAGUCAGUUUCUUGCACAUUAGGAGCAGGAAAUUAAUGUGAAAAGAAAAGUUUCUUCCCAUUCUGUAAAACACUAUGAUCACAAACUUCUUACACUUGAGACCUAUCUUGGAAUAUAAUACGAAUAGGAGAGAAUUAUUAGUAUUGAUCAACAGUUGCCCCCAAACUUGGGUGCUAGGAAACGAGAAACACCGAGGGUGCCAAGAAGAGCAUUAGGAGAACAACUUUGCACAGUCUGAGACCUCAGUGCCCAGGAGGGCAGCGACUGAAAUGAGCAACAGUAAGAGUUCCUAGAAAUAUAUUGGAAGAGUAAGUGUACUGCGGAGUGUUGGGAUUCUGUUUAAAGCCAAUAAAAUUUUCAUUUUUACUAGUGUCACUUCAGAUGAGAUUGGGCAUGUUCAGCAUGGUAUGGCUGUAGACUAGUGUCACCUCAUAUAUAUCCACAGACUUCUAAAGCCUAGAGAAAUUUAGAAGUAGGCCCAUGUGACAGAUGGGCAGAUUGGGCAAAAUUGGGGUAAGAAAGUCCUUUGUAGGAGUUUUCUUUAGUGAAUCUAUUUCCACCUGAGUGUGCUGUAAAUUACAAAGUCAUUCUCCAAAAUUCUAUUUUUCAACCUUUGCUUUUUCAUUUUGCUAAUGUAUUAUGUUGGCUUAGAACAAUGGUUCUAAACCUUAUGUGCAUAUUAAAAUAACAUGGAGAACUUCUUUAUAAUACAAAUGACUCAUCAGUACUAACAGCCUGCCAUUCAGUAUAUGUCCUUGAUGUGACACACUGCGCUUCAAACUCACCCAGAACAUUAAGAUAUUCUUCAAGACAGUUGGCCUAUAUUCCUCGAGAAGUCAAUUUGUAAUGAAGAACAGAGAGAGGGAAAGAAUCUUCUAGAUUAAAAUAAGCUAAGAGUUCCUGCUGUGGUGCAACAGGAUCACCAUGUCUCUGUAGAGCCAGGACGCAGGUUUGAUCCCCUACCUGGCACAGUGUGUUUUAUCCAAGCUUAAAAUUUCAGGCUUAUUCUCCAAAACCAUAUGCCUACCUUAUGAAUGAGUGAAAACCCAGACUUACCUUUUCAUGAUAUGUACCCAUAUUGAAAUUUUUCCCUGUUAUUAAUGCCUUCCUCUACAAUGGCUUCUUCAAGGACAAGCCCCUAUUGUCCUUCCUACUAAAAACCCCUAUUAUGUCCUUUUGAUGAAUUCCCAGAGGACGUCAUUUAUAUCAAAUCCACUUUCUCACCUCUAGUAUUAGAAAAUUGAGGUUUAGCAUCAGGGAAACCUCUAGAUAGAUUUUUCACCCUACAUUUUCCUGUGUCUUUAUUCCUAGCCUCAUUUGCUCAUUUCUGUUCAGAAAAGUGAUGAGUUACAUUGCUUACUUGCAGUUUCCCAAGUUGAUCUUUAGUUUUCAGACUUAUCUGAUCUUUCCAAUGCCAGCAAGGUAUAAACCUGAAAAAACUGCCAAAAUGAAUCUUCAGCUGAGUACAUUCCUUGGCAAUUAGUCCACAUGUACCUUAUAGAUCUAAUAGCUUUGUCAAAUUUUUACCUCUCUUCCAGUAAUUUUCUUCCUUUCAUUAUAAUUAUGCAACAUCUCUCUCCAUUGUACUAUAAGCUUAGUAAGGAUAGGAAAUGUCUUUUCCAUUUCUAUAUCCUAUGCAAUACUUAAAAUUUUGCAUACAUUUUUUUGUUUGAUAAAUGUGUACUGAUCUGAAUUGAACAAGUGUUUUUAGUAUUCUAUACAAAUCAUGCUGUGAUGCUAUAAAAAAUUACUAAAAGGAUUAUUUUUUAUUGUUAUUCUUUUUGAAAACAAAGUAAAAUAUUUUCAUUUGAAAUCACACUCAGGGAGUUAUAGUUGAAUACUGUACCACUACAUUAAAUUCUGAAUCAUGGGAAGAUUAAGAAAGGUAGAAAUUACUGGGAAGGCAGAAUAAGAGGUUUGUGGAAACUGGCUAGUAAAUGAGAAAUAAUGCUUUUUUUAUUAGAUUAAACUAGCACAAAACUGAUAUUUAUUAAAAUUUAAAUUGAUGAAUGCUCCAAAACAGUACAAAUAGAACUAUAAUUCCACCUUGCACUUCUAAUGACAAUGAACAACUAAACUAAAUGUUCUUUGUCAUUUUUUUAUACCACUAUAACCUUUGGAUGAAAUUACAGUCUUACACUAAAGUACAUUUGAAAAAGAGUAUGCCUGCCCAUAUUAAAUGCACUAUAUGGAAAAACACUAUUUGUAAUGAAUAUCUGUAUAAUAUAAUUAUGUAAACACCUGCUAAGUACAAAUGUGUUAUUGUGUUUCAAUCCCUAAUGCUGUGAUUGUUUAAAAUAUAAAGGAAAAGAAGAAAGAGAAAGGUUCUGUUUAAUCCAAUAAAAGAGAGAGAGAGAUGUAGUUCUCUGUAGGGUUUUUGAGGCUGUGAAAUAUGUUGUUAUUUCUUUUGACAAUACAAUUAUUCUUAACAUUUGACACUUCCACUCAAAAUAAAAACUAUUUUUCUUCUUUAUCUUCUGACCAUAUUUAUAAUUUCUUUAUAAGACGUCAAAAAAAUAGUAAAAAAUUGUACAGAACUACAAUUGCAAGUACAAAUAGAACUAUAAUUCCAUCUUGCAAUUCUAAUGACAAUGAACAACUAAACUAAAUGUUCUUUGUCAUUAGCUACAAAAUAGGAAAAAAAUACUGUCAUCUAAAAAUGAAAGAAGAGAUAGAUCAAAGAAGAAAUCAAUGAUUAAAACUAUUCUUAUUCCAAUCACAUCUAGCGGUAUAAAAGACUGUUUUAAAAAUGAAUGGAAAUCUCUAUUGUAGAAGUGAACAGAAAUAAAAUUAUUUAUUUAAACAAAUUUGUUCUAGAAACAGGGAAGAUAUUUUAACAGAAAUCAUGCAGGGAAUAAUAAAUUCUUCCCAAAAUGAAUUACUAUUUUAUUAUGUAAAUAAAAUAUUAAGAUAUAUUUUUGCUAAAUGUAUACUUUGACAUACAUCAAAUUAUUUGCUUUGGGAAGUUUUCUAUGAUUAGCUUUAUACAUAUAUAUUUUAGAAGAAUGAAUCCUUGAAUUCUGUAGUAUUUCUUUCUGUAAGUAAAAAGUAUUCUUUCAAUAGUUACAGACAAUACUUUUUUAUAUUUCAUUCAAAUAACACAAUUUCCUUAAAGUUUUAGGUAAAUUUUAUUUCAGUUUUGUGUAGUGAUAUUUUUAUUUCUUUUUUCAAAUUACUAUUUCUUGAUACUGUGAAAAAUUUGGCAUUGUAGAGAGUUUAAUAUUUUUUUCUAAACAAAUUCCAUUAUCUUUCCUCCACUCUUCCCUUCAGCUGUAAUUAGGCCCUGUUUGUACAUAUGCUUCUAUAGCAUGUCAAAUAAAAUUUUCCUUUUAAUCUCUCCUAAAGGCUUUAAUAUUUGUCUUAUUAAAUAGUCUACCAUCAGUCCUAAAAUAUAUUUAUGACUCCAGUUUCAUCAAGUUUCUUAAAGUUUUUGAAAUUCUAGGCUAGGUUAAUAGAUAUUGAAAGAUGUAUCUUACAUAUGAAUAGAUACAUAUCCUCACCAAAAUCAUUCAUUUUAUUCACUCACAUCUUUAUAUCCUACUAUCCAAUAAUCCUGUUAAUUCUACGGUCAAAAUAUAUCCAGACUCCAACCACUUCUCAUCAUCUCUAACAUGAACACCCCCAACCCCCACUACAUUAUCUUUCACCUGAAUUAUUAUCAUUAUUUCCUAACUGGUCUUCCAUCCUUGCCACCCCAUACCCUAUUCCCCACCCUUCAUAGCUUAUUUGCAAGCCUACUGUCAAAAUAUAAAUCAAAAUUUUCUCCAUUCUUAUUUCACUCAGGGUGAAAUAAAAGGCUUAACAGCUGCCUAAAUGGCUGUGAGUGAUCUGCCCUCCAUUGCUUAUCAGAUCUCAUUCCUUACCAAUUUGCCCUUCUUUCCUUCUAUUGCAGCUGCCCUGGACUCAGCUCUUCCUGUAGCACACCAGAUUUACUCUCCCUCAAUGCCUGCGCAUUUAAAGGAGUAACCAAAAUGUUUUCUUCCCAUCAGUUUCAACAGACCCUUGCGUCACUACAGUCAGUUUUGUCUCACAUUUGUCCAAAUGCGUAUUGAUUUCCUACUAAUUGCCAGCUACUCCGAUAACCUUAAGAAAUACAAAUACGCAAGGAAGGAAAUCACUUUCCUCGAGGAGCAAAUGGCUUAGUAGAGGUGAUCAAUGAUACGAACAGGGAGUGAUGAGCCCAGAAGAGGAUAUAUCAGGAAAUACAGUAGAUACUCAAGCUUCCUAGAGGAGUUCAACCCUGAGGAUUAACAAGGGUUAUAAGGGCUAAGAAGGAAUUCAGAGAGGGAAUUUUAGGCAGAAGAAAUGAGCAAAGGCCUCAGAAUUAGUAGAGGAUGUAAUCUAUUCAGAAUAAAAAAACUGUAAGUGAGUUUCCUCUUGCAAUUGACAGUGGGGCUCUGACAAAUGAUAAGACUAGAAAAAGAGGCAAGGAAGGAAAUCAAGGCAGAUUGUAUACAUGUAUACAUUUAUUCUUGCAUUAACUCUAUGAUUUUUAUGUGUGAGCCAUAUUCCUUACUAGGUUCUUGGGAAUACUGCAGUAACCAAAAACAUAGAGUUUUGUGCUCAUAUUAUUUAAAAAUAUAGUGGGUGAAGCAGAUAAGAGAGCACGUUCUUUGAAGGGGAAACUCCAGGGUUUUAUGGGAGUACCCAGAAGCAAGCAUGUAAAUCAGACUUGGAAAAUUAAUGAACACAUUUGCAAAAAAUUAACAUGAAAGGAGAAAUCUGAAGUCUAUACAGGCAUCAGCCAGUGUUACAAGCUAAAAUGUGUCCCCCCUAAAUUCAUAUAUUGAAGUUCUAACCCUCUAUACUUCAACGUUACUGUAUUGGAGGAUAGGGCCUUUAUUAAGUUAUGGGACUUCCUGCUUAACAAUCCAGAUUGUCUCUAUGGAGGCACCAGUUCAAUCCCAGGUGCAAUGGGUUAAGGGUCCAGCAUUGCUGCACCUGUGGCAUAGGUUGCAAUUCCAGCUUGGAUUCAAUCUAUGGCCCAGGGAACUUCCAUAUGCUGUGGGUGUGACCUAAAAAGGAAAGACAAAACAAACAAAAAAAGAGGUGAUUAAGUUAAAAUGAAGUUGUUAGGAAGGACCCUCACCCAAUCUAAAUGCCCUUACAGGAAGGGGACGAAAGAUGUGACAUUCACUGAGAUGUAGGAACACAAGGAAAGUCCCUGACAUGUAAAAAUAACAAGUUCAAUAAAUUCUAAACUUUUGAGCUUGAGGGCCAUAAAAGUAUGGAUGCCUACUUUUAGUAGAUGUGGAUAUAUGAUUCAUAAACUUCAGAAAGAGAUAAGAGGGUAGAGUGGAGAAAAAGAUUUGAUUUUUGAAUCCAUGCAAAUGAAUGGAAUAACAAAUGAUUAUAAGAAAGGGAGGUUUAGAAAGGAAACCCAAGAGACAUCAAUGUUUAAGACAAAAGCAGGGGAAAAUGGGCCCAUGAAGAAGGAUCAGCUACAGCUUGUGACAUAGUAAGAAACUAACACAGGAAAUAAUAAAAACUAAACAGGAAAUAAUGUUUCAACAAUGUCAAAUGAAGAGAGAUCAGUAUGGCAAAAGUUUAUUAGCCAACAGGGAAUUUUUGCUGAUUUUAGAUAAAGUUUAUGCAGGAUUUCAGAAGAUUUAAAAACCAGAUGGAAAUAUUUUAAUUAUGUGUGUCUAAGUGAUAUUAAUGGCAGGAGGUAAGUGAUUAAAGAUUUAAAUACAGACAUGAGAUUUGGGGCUAUAACAGGGAGAAAAAAGAACUGUCACUGGAGGAAGAUGUGGGAUAAAGGAAGAUUUUGUUUGUUAAUUUGUUUUUUCCUAAGGUGGAAGAAACAUACUCUGUUCAAAUGUGAAUGAGAAGGAACCAAAGAUGAAGAAUAUUCAAGAUUAAUAAUGAGAUAGCAUUUAUAUCAUUACAUCAUAUUCAUUUUAUGUGUAGCUCUAAGUACUUUACUCAAAAUAAAUCAUUUAAUACUAGGGUGAAUUAUUAUCUGCCUUUCACAGAUGAGGUAACAUAGUCAUAAAGAUGAUUAAGUUGUGAUAAUCUUCUCAAAGUUAUGCAGGUAGUAAGUUAAGAGAGUCAGGCUUUGAAACCAGGAAAUCUGCCUUCAGAAGUUAUUACAUAUCUGAAAGCCCAGGAGAUAAAAUACCUUCAAGGGAUCACCUAGAAACAGUAGGGCAUAUGAUUGAGGUUAGAGAUCAUGAGUUUUGGGUGAAAUAAUCUGCAACAGCCACCUCUGCUUUUGGGGAAGACACAUAACUCCCAGAGGGAAAAUAUGCAAGUAUAGUUUUUCUCAUUUGAAGAUUUAAGCAGAAGCAUCAGCUAAUUAAGUAUUUUGGGGAAGCCAGACUGGAGAAGAGGAUAUUUCUUAUGUAAUAAUACCUGAAUUAUUAUUAUACAAGAAGUAGGAACAAAUGAGUGGUAAAGGGCAGAAUUCUGGUUUUCCAAUCAACUAGGCCAUCUUUAAAAUCAAAUCUCAUUAUUUUGGUGGCAAGGUAUAUUCUGAGGUACUUUAGAAGAAAACUUGGCCACAAUUUCAUUUAAAGAAAGAAGGAACCAACUGCCUCUUCUGCACAAGAAGAAAGUGAACAACACUUCCUUCCUUUAGGAUUCCCAGAAGUUGGUGCAGGUGACAGCUCCUGUUAAAUCCAUCUUAAGCCUAAGGUAGCAAAGAUAGCAAAGAACAAGAAUAGACAGGGAUCUGAAUUCUAUUGUUCUAUCACUGGUAUUGAAUCCUAUAGAUAUUUUUUCUAUCACUGGUAUUGAAUUUAAGAGGUUUAAAUAAAGGACU
Molecule: long non-coding RNA, 7121 nt
Filed under: Sus scrofa (pig)
Lineage: Eukaryota; Metazoa; Chordata; Mammalia; Artiodactyla; Suidae
Description: lncRNA (ENSSSCG00000062508.1, ENSSSCG00105005455.1, ENSSSCG00110002994.1)
Source: RNAcentral